GCAAGGCCUUACUCAACCGUGCUUUUGGCUACAUGAGUGCGCUAGCGAUGUAGACGAUGAAGCAAUGAUUGAGAUUAAGUUGUCGCACCACCAAUUCCACUACUUUGAGGAUUCAUCGACCUUCAUUUCUAAGGUUGAUAUUAAAGAAUUCUUACUUGAGGAAGAGUUGAAUGUUUCCAUGAUACAAACAUUCAUGAGGCUAUUAUACAAUGAUUUGAGGCCAUCUAGUGAGCCAAUGUUUGGUUGGUUAUGUCCAAGCUU
Molecule: long non-coding RNA, 261 nt
Organism: Beta vulgaris subsp. vulgaris (sugar beet)
Lineage: Eukaryota; Viridiplantae; Streptophyta; Magnoliopsida; Caryophyllales; Amaranthaceae
Exons: 3
Source: RefSeq, a predicted model, not a curated record